RNAcentral lists this ribosomal RNA (444 nucleotides) under uncultured bacterium. RNAcentral's name for it is "partial 16S ribosomal RNA". It matches the Rfam family "Bacterial small subunit ribosomal RNA", at positions 338 to 795 of the family's 1533-position model. The record is from RNAcentral.
CCUACGGGAGGCAGCAGUGGGGAAUAUUGGGCAAUGGAGGAAACUCUGACCCAGCAAUGCCGCGUGAAUGAAGAAGGUCUUCGGAUUGUAAAGUUCUUUAGUCAGGGAAAAAUAAAAUGACGGUACCUGAAGAAUAAGCCCCGGCUAACUACGUGCCAGCAGCCGCGGUAAUACGUAGGGAGCAAGCGGUGUUCGGUAUGACUGGGCGUAAAGGGUGCGUAGGCGGUUAUACAAGUUAGAAGUGAAAUACCCCGGGCUUAACUCGGGUGCUGCUUCUAAAACUGUAUGACUUGAGUGCAGUAGAGGUUAGUGGAAUGCCUAGUGUAGCGGUGGAAUGCGUAGAUAUUAGGAGGAACACCAGAGGCGAAGGCGGCUAACUGGACUGCAACUGACGCUGAGGCACGAAAGUGUGGGGAGCAAACAGGAUUAGAUACCCCAGUAGUC